UGUUAUGGCAGCUGUGCGUGGGACGCUUUCGGGCGUGCCGGUUUCCUUGAUCCCCGGUUUUCCAACCCGCGUACAGCUGCCACCCAU
Molecule: non-coding RNA, 87 nt
Organism: Pseudomonas sp. GM78
Lineage: Bacteria; Pseudomonadati; Pseudomonadota; Gammaproteobacteria; Pseudomonadales; Pseudomonadaceae
Source: Rfam